Molecule: ribosomal RNA, 484 nt
Filed under: uncultured bacterium
Lineage: Bacteria
Description: partial 16S ribosomal RNA
Rfam family: Bacterial small subunit ribosomal RNA
Source: RNAcentral
AUUGAACGCUGGCGGCAGGCCUAACACAUGCAAGUCGAGCGGAUGAAGGGAGCUUGCUCCUGGAUUCAGCGGCGGACGGGUGAGUAAUGCCUAGGAAUCUGCCUGGUAGUGGGGGAUAACGUCCGGAAACGGGCGCUAAUACCGCAUACGUCCUGAGGGUGAAAGUGGGGGAUCUUCGGACCUCACGCUAUCAGAUGAGCCUAGGUCGGAUUAGCUAGUUGGUGGGGUAAAGGCCUACCAAGGCGACGAUCCGUAACUGGUCUGAGAGGAUGAUCAGUCACACUGGAACUGACACACGGUCCAGACUCCUACGGGAGGCAGCAGUGGGGAAUAUUGGACAAUGGGCGAAAGCCUGAUCCAGCCAUGCCGCGUGUGUGAAGAAGGUCUUCGGAUUGUAAAGCACUUUAAGUUGGGAGGAAGGGCAGUAAGUUAAUACCUUGCUGUUUUGACGUGACCAACAGAAUAAGCACCGGCUAACUUCGUG